CUGUAAUUAAGUGAUUGUCGUAUAUUGCUGUGUCACAUUUUUUCACAUUAUUUUUUUUUUUCCGCAUUAAAUAGGCCAUUAGUUUUAUCGUUGUCAUUUCAGGGCCUUGUAUAGCUGACUAUGCUGUAUGGGCUUUGCUCAUUGUUUAAGGCCGUACGGUGACCAAUAGUUGUUAAUUUCUUUGUCAUUUGGUCUCUUUUUUAAAUUUUAUAUUGAAAUGUUUGUGGUUUACAAC
Molecule: long non-coding RNA, 235 nt
Filed under: Mytilus galloprovincialis (Mediterranean mussel)
Lineage: Eukaryota; Metazoa; Mollusca; Bivalvia; Mytilida; Mytilidae
Source: RNAcentral